RNAcentral lists this ribosomal RNA (460 nucleotides) under uncultured bacterium. RNAcentral describes it as "partial 16S ribosomal RNA". It matches the Rfam family "Bacterial small subunit ribosomal RNA", at positions 338 to 795 of the family's 1533-position model. The record is from RNAcentral.
CCUACGGGUGGCAGCAGUGAGGAAUAUUGGUCAAUGGACGAGAGUCUGAACCAGCCAAGUAGCGUGAAGGAUGACUGCCCUAUGGGUUGUAAACUUCUUUUAUAUGGGAAUAAAAUGUUCCACGUGUGGGCUUUUGUAUGUACCAUAUGAAUAAGGAUCGGCUAACUCCGUGCCAGCAGCCGCGGUAAUACGGAGGAUCCGAGCGUUAUCCGGAUUUAUUGGGUUUAAAGGGAGCGUAGGUGGUUUGUUAAGUCAGUGGUGAAAGUUUGCGGCUCAACCGUAACAUUGCAGUUGAAACUGGCAGUCUUGAGUUCAGUAGAGGUAGGCGGAAUGCGUGGUGUAGCGGUGAAAUGCAUAGAUAUCACGAAGAACUCCGAUUGCGAAGGCAGCUCACUGGACUGCAACUGACGCUGAGGCUCGAAAGUGUGGGUAUCAAACAGGAUUAGAUACCCGAGUAGUC